Molecule: long non-coding RNA, 1914 nt
Organism: Oreochromis aureus
Lineage: Eukaryota; Metazoa; Chordata; Actinopteri; Cichliformes; Cichlidae
Source: Ensembl
GAUUAAUAGAACUACGUUUUACUAGCGGACCGAAAGUGUUACUGACGGGAAUCUACAGCAUCUUGAGCUGAAUUAAGACUUCAGAAUGAUCAGCGGAUAAACUCUCAGUGGUUUUGCUGUUCGUCAUCGCUGGACUCUUUUCUCCGUGCUCUUUCCUCACAUCAGGUGGAAACGGCAUGAAUGUAUAUUACUGCGAGACUGAGGGCUGUGUCAAUGAUGUAAAGCGUGUUUUCUGUGAGGAUGUAGAGCUCCUGCGUAACAAAGAGAUUUCAAAUUGUUCCUACGGUCCGCUUCCACCCAAUACCAUCUGCCAACACAGAGGCCGCUUGUUUGUCUCCACCUUCUUAAAUUCCUGUGAAUUUGAAGGGGACACGGGAUAUAUAGACACCAAAACUUGUACAGACUGCUCUUUUUUAAAUAGAGCUACCACACCGGCAGUCACCCCAAGCACUGUGGAAACAUCUUCGCAGCCCAAUUCCAAACUUCUAGGCGUCGUGCCCGCAGUAGUCUGUUCUACAGGUGUGGUACUGCUGUUAGCGGGUUUCUUUUACAGAAAAGCAAAAAAUCAGCAACAACAAAGACGGACUCAAACCAGUCCUGGUUUGCAGAAUGACAGCUCAUUAGUCUAAUGCUUUGGAUGUAACAUCAUACUCCUGGUUCGAGGCCAGGGCAUGCCUCCACUAAGGGUCCUUCCUGCUACCCAAGCCUACUGUGAGGGACAACUGUAGCCAUGCCGGCUCGGACGUCGUCUUGAUUAAGGUCUGCAUGAGGUGUUGAAGAACCAGAAGAGUUUACAUAAGCAGACAGCAUCAUUCUGAUGCUCGCACUUUUGGCUAGUACUUAAAUAGGGCUUUUCCAAGUGAUGGCAACAUCAAGAAGAAGGAAUACUCAAUAGCAGAAUAAGCUGUUUAGUACUACCUGAAAGAAUUUGCCAAGUUUUUCAUGGGGGAAAUCCAAAAAUGUAUUUUCCUCACAAAUGUGACACAUUUAUGUGGAAAUACACAGGCUUUCCAACAUGGAAGUACAAAGAAGGAAUGUUACAACCAACUUUAUAUUAUCUGUAGAUGUAUUAUUAUGUGUGUAAAAAGAAAAUAAUCAUAUUUCUAACCAAAAUGGUUUUCCCUCUUUAAAAUUGUUUAUUUAUUCUUCUUCUCAUUAUGUUCUCUAUGAGACUGGCUGUUGUCAGGGCCCAUUUGUGCCCCUUUACAUACUUUUUUUUUAAUCCAGUGGUGCACUGAAUGAGAAGCAGGAAAGGAAGUGUACAUUUGAUUCAAAGAAAUGGGAUGUAGUCUAUAUUUACAGCUAUAUGCAGUAAACUUUGUUAUUAGAGACAAGGACAUUUAGUUAUUUCUGAACAUGUGUAAGGCUGUCAAACAGUAAUUGUUUUGGCCUUUUCUGAGAAGAAAACAGUUCUUUAUAGCACCUAAAAGUAUCACUACAGAAAUAUGCAUUGGUGGAUUUCUUUACAGAGAAGUGGGUGAAAAUUCCUCCAGAGCUGUGUGCACUCUUAUGCUUUUCAGCAAGGAUUCCUCCAUCAUGUAUCACAUCAGUGGUUCCCAAACUUUUUUUUUGCUAGUUUGGGCACAAACACAUCCUUCAACCACACACACCCAUUUUUGUUUUUCAAACUCCAUUGCAGUUUAUUUCACACCUCAAACCUUUUGUAAACAGUGAAACACAGAAAAGUAAACUGUAAUAAAUUACAGCUUGCAAUAAUAAACCACUAAACAAACCAUCUUUAUGGUGAAAUUAUUUUACGUAUAGUUGUUGUUGUUUUUUUACUGUGUAAGAAUAUUCAACCAUGCUAUCAAUACAUUUUUCAAAAAAUGUCUCUCUGUGCAAAAUGAGUUUAAAAACAUAAACAACUGUGGGAUACUGUUUGUCAGUGAUUUGAACCAGGAAAACAAAUUGUGG